CAGCAGCUAUGACUGUAAAUGGCUGGAAACAACUCCACUAAACAUAAGUUGCAUAUGUCUGUAAUAUUCAGAGCUCUUAUAAAUGGACUGUGUCAUUAUGGCUGGCAUGCAAUAAUGUAACAGAGGCACACCUUGGUGUCAUACGUGACAUAACAGGCCGCAUAUUCACCAGCGCUUUGGAUCCCUGUACAGCUGACCAGCAACAAAGUCCACAGUCCUUGAAAUGUCUUAUCACCAUGUGAAAGGGUUGGCCCAUUCCUGCUGCUCUCCUGAAGCGAAGAUAGCGUAAAAGAUGACCCCUGAGUAAUGCACCAUGGCUGC
Long non-coding RNA from Haplochromis burtoni (Burton's mouthbrooder), 321 nucleotides. RefSeq lists it as uncharacterized. The transcript is spliced from 3 exons. The record is from RefSeq and is a predicted model, not a curated record. NCBI's taxonomy places the organism in Eukaryota, Metazoa, Chordata, Actinopteri, Cichliformes, Cichlidae.